CCUACGGGAGGCAGCAGUGGGGAAUCUUGCGCAAUGGGCGAAAGCCUGACGCAGCCAUGCCGCGUGAAUGAUGAAGGUCUUAGGAUUGUAAAAUUCUUUCACCGGGGACGAUAAUGACGGUACCCGGAGAAGAAGCCCCGGCUAACUUCGUGCCAGCAGCCGCGGUAAUACGAAGGGGGCUAGCGUUGCUCGGAAUUACUGGGCGUAAAGGGAGCGUAGGCGGAUAGUUUAGUCAGAGGUGAAAGCCCAGGGCUCAACCUUGGAAUUGCCUUUGAUACUGGCUAUCUUGAGUGUGGGAGAGGUAUGUGGAACUCCGAGUGUAGAGGUGAAAUUCGUAGAUAUUCGGAAGAACACCAGUGGCGAAGGCGACAUACUGGCCCAUUACUGACGCUGAGGCUCGAAAGCGUGGGGAGCAAACAGGAUUAGAUACCCUGGUAGUCCACGCUGUAAACGAUGAGUGCUAGUUGUCGGCAGCAUGCUGUCGGUGACGCAGCUACGCAUAAGACACUCCGCCGUCGGGGAGGUACGGUCGCGAAGAAUUAAACUACAAUAGAAGUUAGACGGCGUGAGACGUGCCGACGGACGACGACGAGGGAGGUUAGG
RNAcentral lists this ribosomal RNA (603 nucleotides) under uncultured bacterium. RNAcentral's name for it is "bacterial SSU rRNA". The stretch from base 1 to 514 matches the Rfam family "Bacterial small subunit ribosomal RNA", at positions 338 to 873 of the family's 1533-position model. The record is from RNAcentral.